RNAcentral lists this ribosomal RNA (270 nucleotides) under uncultured prokaryote. Its description in RNAcentral is "partial 16S ribosomal RNA". It matches the Rfam family "Archaeal small subunit ribosomal RNA", at positions 474 to 743 of the family's 1478-position model. The record is from RNAcentral.
UACUAGCGAUCCGAGUCGCAGCCAUUUUUAUUGGGUCUAAAACAUCCGUAGCUUGCUUGAUAAGUUUCUUGUGAAAUCUUAUCUCUUAAAGAUAGGACGUGCAAGAAGUACUGUCAAGCUAGAGACUGGAAGACGUAGGAAGUACGGUCAAAGUAGCGGUAAAAUGUGUUAAUCUUGAUCGGACUCACAAGAGCGAAGGCAUCCUACGAGGACAGUUCUGACAGUAAGGGAUGAAGGCUAGGGGCGCAAAACGGAUUAGAUACCCGCGUA